AUUUCCAAACGCCUGAAGGCCCAGGACAGCGCCGACAUCCCACAAUGCAACACGUUCCACAGGGGUAAAGUGCGCCUGCGACCUCAGCUCUUCCUCUUUGGACCGACGUCUCCUCAGCAACAAUGGCUAAGCGCACCAAGAAGGUGGGGAUUGUGGGUAAAUAUGGCACACGUUACGGCGCGUCGCUCAGGAAGAUGGUGAAGAAGAUUGAGAUCAGCCAGCACGCCAAGUACACCUGCUCCUUCUGUGGCAAGACGAAGAUGAAGAGGAGGGCUGUUGGUAUCUGGCACUGUGGGUCCUGCAUGAAGACUGUUGCUGGAGGUGCCUGGACAUACAA
Molecule: long non-coding RNA, 337 nt
Organism: Oncorhynchus keta (chum salmon)
Lineage: Eukaryota; Metazoa; Chordata; Actinopteri; Salmoniformes; Salmonidae
Exons: 4
Source: RefSeq, a predicted model, not a curated record